AGACCCGAAACCCGGUGAUCUAGCCAUGGGCAGGUUGAAGGUUGGGUAACACUAACUGGAGGACCGAACCGACUAAUGUUGAAAAAUUAGCGGAUGACCUGUGGCUGGGGGUGAAAGGCCAAUCAAACCGGGAGAUAGCUGGUUCUCCCCGAAAGCUAUUUAGGUAGCGCCUCGUGAAUUCAUCUCCGGGGGUAGAGCACUGUUUCGGCUAGGGGGCCAUCCCGGCUUACCAACCCGAUGCAAACUGCGAAUACCGGAGAAUGUUAUCACGGGAGACACACGGCGGGUGCUAACGUCCGUCGUGAAGAGGGAAACAACCCAGACCGCCAGCUAAGGUCCCAAAGUCAUGGUUAAGUGGGAAACGAUGUGGGAAGGCCCAGACAGCCAGGAUGUUGGCUUAGAAGCAGCCAUCAUUUAAAGAAAGCGUAAUAGCUCACUGGUCGAGUCGGCCUGCGCGGAAGAUGUAACGGGGCUAAACCAUGCACCGAAGCUGCGGCAGCGACACUCAGGUGUUGUUGGGUAGGGGAGCGUUCUGUAAGCCUGCGAAGGUGGCCUGUGAGGGUUGCUGGAGGUAUCAGAAGUGCGAAUGCUGACAUAAGUAACGAUAAAGCGGGUGAAAAGCCCGCUCGCCGGAAGACCAAGGGUUCCUGUCCAACGUUAAUCGGGGCAGGGUGAGUCGACCCCUAAGGCGAGGCCGAAAGGCGUAGUCGAUGGGAAACGGGUUAAUAUUCCCGUACUUGGUGUUACUGCGAAGGGGGGACGGAGAAGGCUAUGUUGGCCGGGCGACGGUUGUCCCGGUUUAAGCGUGUAGGUGUGUGUUCCAGGUAAAUCCGGUUCACUUUAACACUGAGGCGUGACGACGAGGCACUACGGUGCUGAAGCAACAAAUGCCCUGCUUCCAGGAAAAGCCUCUAAGCAUCAGGUAACAUCAAAUCGUACCCCAAACCGACACAGGUGGUCAGGUAGAGAAUACCAAGGCGCUUGAGAGAACUCGGGUGAAGGAACUAGGCAAAAUGGUGCCGUAACUUCGGGAGAAGGCACGCUGACACGUAGGUGAAGUGAUUUACUCACGGAGCUGAAGUCAGUCGAAGAUACCAGCUGGCUGCAACUGUUUAUUAAAAACACAGCACUGUGCAAACACGAAAGUGGACGUAUACGGUGUGACGCCUGCCCGGUGCCGGAAGGUUAAUUGAUGGGGUCAGCGCAAGCGAAGCUCCUGAUCGAAGCCCCGGUAAACGGCGGCCGUAACUAUAACGGUCCUAAGGUAGCGAAAUUCCUUGUCGGGUAAGUUCCGACCUGCACGAAUGGCGUAAUGAUGGCCAGGCUGUCUCCACCCGAGACUCAGUGAAAUUGAACUCGCUGUGAAGAUGCAGUGUACCCGCGGCAAGACGGAAAGACCCCGUGAACCUUUACUAUAGCUUGACACUGAACAUUGAGCCUUGAUGUGUAGGAUAGGUGGGAGGCUUUGAAGUGUGGACGCCAGUCUGCAUGGAGCCGACCUUGAAAUACCACCCUUUAAUGUUUGAUGUUCUAACGUGGACCCGUGAUCCGGGUUGCGGACAGUGUCUGGUGGGUAGUUUGACUGGGGCGGUCUCCUCCUAAAGAGUAACGGAGGAGCACGAAGGUUGGCUAAUCCUGGUCGGACAUCAGGAGGUUAGUGCAAUGGCAUAAGCCAGCUUGACUGCGAGCGUGACGGCGCGAGCAGGUGCGAAAGCAGGUCAUAGUGAUCCGGUGGUUCUGAAUGGAAGGGCCAUCGCUCAACGGAUAAAAGGUACUCCGGGGAUAACAGGCUGAUACCGCCCAAGAGUUCAUAUCGACGGCGGUGUUUGGCACCUCGAUGUCGGCUCAUCACAUCCUGGGGCUGAAGUAGGUCCCAAGGGUAUGGCUGUUCGCCAUUUAAAGUGGUACGCGAGCUGGGUUUAGAACGUCGUGAGACAGUUCGGUCCCUAUCUGCCGUGGGCGCUGGAGAACUGAGGGGGGCUGCUCCUAGUACGAGAGGACCGGAGUGGACGCAUCACUGGUGUUCGGGUUGUCAUGCCAAUGGCACUGCCCGGUAGCUAAAUGCGGAAGAGAUAAGUGCUGAAAGCAUCUAAGCACGAAACUUGCCCCGAGAUGAGUUCUCCCUGAGACUUAGAGUCUCCUGAAGGAACGUUGAAGACGACGACGUUGAUAGGCCGGGUGUGUAAGCGCAGCGAUGCGUUGAGCUAACCGGUACUAAUGAACCGUGAGGCUUAACCUUACA
This 2242-nucleotide ribosomal RNA is filed under the name Salmonella enterica. RNAcentral describes it as "partial 23S ribosomal RNA". It matches the Rfam family "Bacterial large subunit ribosomal RNA", at positions 711 to 2925 of the family's 2925-position model. The record is from RNAcentral. Lineage: Bacteria; Pseudomonadati; Pseudomonadota; Gammaproteobacteria; Enterobacterales; Enterobacteriaceae.